RNAcentral lists this ribosomal RNA (294 nucleotides) under uncultured bacterium. RNAcentral's name for it is "partial 16S ribosomal RNA". It matches the Rfam family "Bacterial small subunit ribosomal RNA", at positions 333 to 643 of the family's 1533-position model. The record is from RNAcentral.
GAGUGCCUACGGGAGGCAGCAGUCGGGAAUAUUGCGCAAUGGAGGAAACUCUGACGCAGUGACGCCGCGUGCAGGAAGAAGGUUUUCGGAUUGUAAACUGCUUUAGACAGGGAAGAAACAAGACAGUACCUGUAGAAUAAGCUCCGGCUAACUACGUGCCAGCAGCCGCGGUAAUACGUAGGGAGCAAGCGUUAUCCGGAUUUAUUGGGUGUAAAGGGUGCGUAGACGGGAAGGCAAGUUAGUUGUGAAAUCCCUCGGCUUAACUGAGGAACUGCAACUAAAACUAUCUUUCUU